GUCCUAGCCUUAAACGAUGAUGACUUGGUGUGUCGGGUUUUCAGUCCCGAUGUGCCGGAGCUAACGCGUUAAGUCAUCCGCCUGGGGAGUACGGUCGCAAGACUGAAACUCAAAGGAAUUGACGGGGACCCGCACAAGCGGUGGAGCAUGUGGUUUAAUUCGACGCAACGCGAAGAACCUUACCUAGGCUAGAAUGCGAAGGACGAGGGUGCAAAACAUCUUCUUCUAUGGGAAACCAUAGACCUGAAGCAAGGUGCUGCAUGGCUGUCGU
RNAcentral lists this ribosomal RNA (271 nucleotides) under uncultured bacterium. RNAcentral's name for it is "partial 16S ribosomal RNA". It matches the Rfam family "Bacterial small subunit ribosomal RNA", at positions 793 to 1055 of the family's 1533-position model. The record is from RNAcentral.